This 439-nucleotide ribosomal RNA is filed under the name uncultured bacterium. RNAcentral describes it as "partial 16S ribosomal RNA". It matches the Rfam family "Bacterial small subunit ribosomal RNA", at positions 339 to 795 of the family's 1533-position model. The record is from RNAcentral.
CUACGGGGCGCUCCAGUGGGGAAUAUUGCACAAUGGAGGAAACUCUGAUGCAGCAACGCCGCGUGGAGGAUGACACUUUUCGGAGCGUAAACUCCUUUUAUAUAGGAAGAUAAUGACGGUACUAUAUGAAUAAGCACCGGCUAACUCCGUGCCAGCAGCCGCGGUAAUACGGAGGGUGCAAGCGUUACUCGGAAUCACUGGGCGUAAAGAGCGUGUAGGAGGGUUAAUAAGUCAGAAGUGAAAUCCUAUGGCUCAACCAUAGAACUGCUUUUGAAACUGUUAACCUAGAGUGUGGGAGAGGUAGAUGGAAUGUCUGGUGUAGGGGUAAAAUCCGUAGAGAUCAGAAGGAAUACCGAUUGCGAAGGCGAUCUACUGGAACAUAACUGACGCUGAGACGCGAAAGCGUGGGGAGCAAACAGGAUUAGAUACCCCAGUAGUC